This 467-nucleotide ribosomal RNA is filed under the name uncultured bacterium. Its description in RNAcentral is "partial 16S ribosomal RNA". It matches the Rfam family "Bacterial small subunit ribosomal RNA", at positions 28 to 507 of the family's 1533-position model. The record is from RNAcentral.
GAUGAACGCUGGCGGCGUGCUUAACACAUGCAAGUCGAACGGAAAGGCCCAAGCUUGCUUGGGUACUCGAGGGGCGAACGGGUGAGUAACACGUGGGUGAGCUGCCCUGCACUGGGGGAUAAGCCGGGGAAACUGGGUCUAAUACCGGAGAGGAGCGCAUGUUGGAGGGGGUGGUUGAAAGCUUUUGGGUGGGGGAUGAGCUUGCGGGGUAUCAGCUUGUUGGUGGGGAAAGGGCGUACCAGGGCGUCGACGGGUAGCCGGCCUGAGGGGAGGUACGGCCGCACUGGGCCCCAGCGACGGGCCAGACUCCGGAGGGUGGCAGCAGGGGGGAAUAUUGCACCAUGCGCGCACGCCUGAGGCAGCGACGCCGCGUGGGGGAUGACGGCCUUCGGGUUGUAAACUCCUCUCGCUAGUGACGACGCGUUUUUGUGACGUUACCUGGAGAAGAAGCACCGGCUAACUACGUG